ACUCCUACGGGAGGCAGCAGUAAGGAAUAUUGGACAAUGGGCGAGAGCCUGAUCCAGCCAUGCCGCGUGCAGGAUUACGGUCCUAUGGAUUGUAAACUGCUUUUGUAUGGGAAUAAUAGCAAAUACGUGUAUUUGUAUGAAUGUACCAUAAGAAUAAGGAUCGGCUAACUCCGUGCCAGCAGCCGCGGUAAU
Molecule: ribosomal RNA, 192 nt
Filed under: uncultured bacterium
Lineage: Bacteria
Description: partial 16S ribosomal RNA
Rfam family: Bacterial small subunit ribosomal RNA
Source: RNAcentral